GGGCCCAUAGUUUCAAUGGCUAAAAUGCUGGUCUCCAAAACCAGAGUUCUCCGUUCGAGUCGGAGUGGGCCUG
Molecule: transfer RNA, 73 nt
Filed under: Patescibacteria group bacterium
Lineage: Bacteria
Description: tRNA-Trp
Rfam family: tRNA
About the family: Transfer RNA (tRNA) molecules are approximately 80 nucleotides in length. Their secondary structure includes four short double-helical elements and three loops (D, anti-codon, and T loops).
Source: RNAcentral